UACGUAGGGGGCAAGCGUUGUCCGGAUUUAUUGGGCGUAAAGAGCUCGUAGGCGGUUCCGUAAGUCGAGUGUGAAAAAUCUGGGCUCAACCCAGUGGAGCACUCGAUACUGCGGUGACUGGAGUACGGUAGAGGAGUGUGGAAUUCCUGGUGUAGCGGUGAAAUGCGUAGAUAUCUGGAGGAACACCGGUGGCGAAGGCGGCGUUCUGGACUGCAACUGACACUGAGAAACGAAAGCCAGGGUAGCAAACGGG
Molecule: ribosomal RNA, 253 nt
Filed under: uncultured bacterium
Lineage: Bacteria
Description: partial 16S ribosomal RNA
Rfam family: Bacterial small subunit ribosomal RNA
Source: RNAcentral